GGCUGUUGCUCCUCCUGAAGGACAGGUCCUCUGAGGCCUUAGGGCCGUUCUCCAUGUCACCUCAUACGCCCCCUGACACACCCAGACGAGGGCCUCCUCCACUGGACCUGCUGGACUGGUGGUAAUGUCCAGAUGGAGCAAAUGGUCGUUCACUGUCAAUAGCUGGUGAUCUCUUUGCCAUCUACGAUCUCCUUGGUGAUGAUGACCACCCUGCGAGUGGAGGUGGUGGAGGAGGUGCUGUGAGGGUGAACCACAGGGAUUAGUGAUGGCAGCCUCCUGUACU
This is a long non-coding RNA of Cynoglossus semilaevis (tongue sole), 283 nucleotides long. RefSeq lists it as uncharacterized. The transcript has 3 exons. The record is from RefSeq and is a predicted model, not a curated record. NCBI's taxonomy places the organism in Eukaryota, Metazoa, Chordata, Actinopteri, Pleuronectiformes, Cynoglossidae.